UGGGGAAUUUUGGACAAUGGGGGCAACCCUGAUCCAGCAAUGCCGCGUGUGUGAAGAAGGCCUUCGGGUUGUAAAGCACUUUUGUCCGGAAAGAAAACGCCGUGGUUAAUACCCGUGGCGGAUGACGGUACCGGAAGAAUAAGCACCGGCUAACUACGUGCCAGCAGCCGCGGUAAUACGUAGGGUGCAAGCGUUAAUCGGAAUUACUGGGCGUAAAGCGUGCGCAGGCGGUCCGCUAAGACAGAUGUGAAAUCCCCGGGCUUAACCUGGGAACUGCAUUUGUGACUGGCGGGCUAGAGUAUGGCAGAGGGGGGUAGAAUUCCACGUGUAGCAGUGAAAUGCGUAGAGAUGUGGAGGAAUACCGAUGGCGAAGGCAGCCCCCUGGGCCAAUACUGACGCUCAUGCACGAAAGCGUGGGGGAGCAAACAGGAUUAGAUACCCUGGUAGUCCACGCCCUAAACGAUGUCAACUAGUUGUCGGGUCUUCAUUGACUUGGUAACGUAGCUAACGCGUGAAGUUGACCGCCU
Molecule: ribosomal RNA, 527 nt
Filed under: uncultured bacterium
Lineage: Bacteria
Description: partial 16S ribosomal RNA
Rfam family: Bacterial small subunit ribosomal RNA
Source: RNAcentral